Molecule: non-coding RNA, 1147 nt
Organism: Pelobates cultripes (western spadefoot toad)
Lineage: Eukaryota; Metazoa; Chordata; Amphibia; Anura; Pelobatidae
Source: the annotation of a GenBank genome assembly
UUCUACAAAAUGGAUUUUUUAUUAAAUGAAAGAAAAAUCUUUUUUGUGGAUUUCAUUUAUGAAAUAGAAUAUACAAAAACUUUACAUUAGUCCUCUCAAUUGAAUAAAAUCCUAUUGCAGUUUAAUCUAGCACUCAUUUUCUCUCCGAGCACAAUGCAUGAAGACAUUCUCCAUGGUGUAAAGCACUGAGCUACAACAGCUUAUGGAGAGGCAAGGUUAAAAAUCUACACACUGCUCUUCUAACAAAUCCAAACUAGAGCACAGAGGAAGAUGUCUGAGAGUUUACAAUGCCUCUGAUCACAUUCUCUAUAUCUAUACAAAUAUAUAUUGUAUUCGUUUAAAAAAAUGUUUUAUCUUGUAUGUAUGUGAAAAGCGCACAAUUACAGGCUAUUUAUUUUCUCACGCACUAUGGGGUUUUUGUCCAGAGAUGGUGUGAUAUUCCCCCAAGCCACUUUGAGACCCUAUCCCAUACCCCCCCAAAAAAUCAUAAAAUAAAAUCUUUCCUACUAUAUGGAGCUCAGAGAAGAGCAUUACAUGUCUUUGGCAUAUCACAACAAUUUCCCAUUAAUACUUGGUUUCCUUUUCUAAAAACAAACAAAAAAACCAAAAUGGUGCAUUUUCUUUAGUAAAAUAAAUUUAAAACAAUCAAAAGAUGUGUAGAAUGACAAACCUGUGAACCAGCAAAAUAUACAUAUGUCUCCGGAAAAUGAAAAAUAUAAUAAAAUACAGAAAGAAUAAGAUCACACAUACAUUGUAAGUCCAUUUAUGACCGCAUGUCCUCGAUUGAUUAAACAUUUCCCUAGUGGGAACAGAGUGUCAUAUGAAGUCAUUGAGUUCAGCUUCAAUAGCAGCUGCCAUUUCAUCAGCUUCAGAACUGCUACCUUCCUCGUCCUCAUUGCUGGAUUCACUGCCAUCAUCUUCCUCUUCAUCUUCCAGCUUUCUCUUAUGACCUCUAGGGAAAGCAGAGAGGUUUAAAAUGAUUAAAAGGUAAGCUUAAACUAUAAACAUGGUUAUAGUGGCCAGAUUUUUAUAACAGUUAAAGAGUUACACAGCUUAUAACGAGAAUCAAUAAAUCUGUAUCUACAAUUGAAGAAAAAUAAAAGGAAACGUGGCAUUAACCAAGAACUAGACCAGGGUUUGACAAAAC